UUUCCUUCUCUCUAAAUCUUCUUUCUUUUUAUUAUUGAGCUAAUGAACGAUUAUAUUUUUGUAAAUAUUGCAAGUGAAUUUAUCGGCAUAAGAGGUGAAUUCAUCACCUAAAGAGGUUAGCGUCAUCUUUCUUAUCUCUAAAUAUCUUUUUGUUUAUGGUUGAUCUACUGAUCGUAUUUAUGUUUGAUUAUUUUGCAGUGGAAUUGAUCGCCAUGAGAAAUGAAAAGCUCUGUAAACUGGUUUUGCAAUCAUGAAUCUUCUACUAUCUACUUUUGCUUCCGAUUUAUAAAACUAAUCAUUUUUAUGCUUUUGCAGGUAUUGUAGGUUAAAUGAUACGAAUGACAGGAAAAGCAAUAUGAACUGAGUUUUCCAGGUAGUUUGUUCUCACAGAAAGCUUCUUGGUAUCAUU
This is a non-coding RNA of Salvia hispanica, 409 nucleotides long. The record is from RefSeq and is a predicted model, not a curated record. NCBI's taxonomy places the organism in Eukaryota, Viridiplantae, Streptophyta, Magnoliopsida, Lamiales, Lamiaceae.